This 1853-nucleotide long non-coding RNA is filed under the name Phoenix dactylifera (date palm). RNAcentral's name for it is "long non-coding RNA (PDAC_LNC002613)". The record is from RNAcentral. Lineage: Eukaryota; Viridiplantae; Streptophyta; Magnoliopsida; Arecales; Arecaceae.
CAUGGUCUUUAUUUUAACUUAUGUUUCUGAACUUAAUAUUAUUAGAGCUAAGAGGCAUCUUCAUCUACUACAUUCCCAUAUUGAUCUACUCUAGGAGGGAGAGAGAGGACCUCCUAGGUUGGGGGAGUUCUUCUGACAUAGGGAUGCGUGGAGGAAGCAGUCAAUGGUCGACAACCAGAUGUGCCACGCCCUCUUGAGCCUCGACAUCGCUCUUGUUGCCUUUGGCGUCUAUCGCGUCGGCGAGGCCAUCUACAGCCGCAUUAGUGAAGUUGAAGGCGGGAUCCUCAAGCAACUAUGCUUUGAGGUGAAAGUAGAUAUGGCGGAAGGAUGACUUCACACCCCCUCCGGCCCUUCUGCACACGGUGUACGCUAUGCCAGUGGAAGCAACGAAGCCACGAAGACAACAUAGGAGGGAGAGAGGGAGAGGACCUUGUAGGGCAUUGGGGGGUUCAUGGGAGGCUUUAAAGGGCCAAAUCGAUCCGACCACUUGAACCAUUCCAGUUCUUGACCGGUUUGGCUUGGCACGGCUCAAACUAUCCGGUUCAGGUCGGUUCGACCUUCCUUGCUAAGAAGGUUUUAGAAGAUUGCUUAUGGCUUGCAUGCACUUAAUAAAUUACAUGUGUACAACUUAGGCACUCCUCCCUGUCCGCCAAUUGGCUAUAAAGGUUUCAUGGAAAACUUAUGUCAUGCAAGCUUUUGUCGUCUGGUUGACAACCGAUCAUAAAAUCUGUUCAAUCUAUUGAGCCUUCUCAACUAAAACCGUUUUCUAUAGUAGACCCCAUAUUAAGUUAAAUUAAGCUUAGUCUGCGUGGUCUUUAUUUUAACUUAUGUUCCUAAACUUAAUAUUAUUAGAGCUAAGUGGCAUCUUCAUCGACUACAUUCCCAUAUCGAUCUACUCUAGGAGGGACAGAGAGGACCUCCUAGGUUGGGGGAGUUCUUCUGACAUAGGGAUGUGCGGAGAAAGCACUCAAUGGUCGACAACCAGAUGUGCCACGCCCUCUCAAGCCUCGGCAUCGCUCUUGUUGCCUUUGGCGUCUACCUCGUUGGCGAGGCCAUCUACAACCGCAUUAGUGAAGUUGAAGGCGGGAUCCUCAAGCAACUCUGUCUUGAGGUGAAAGUAGAUCUGGCGGAAGGUUGACUUCACACCCCCUCCGGCUCUCCUAUUCACGGUGUACGCCAUGCCUGUGGAAGCAACCAAGCAGCGAAGACAACACGAGAGGGAGUGAGGGAGGGAGAGGACCUUGUAGGGCAUUGGGGUGGGGGGGGGGCAUGGGAGGCUUUAAAGGGCCGAACCGAUCCGACCACUUGAACCAUUCUAGUUUUUGACUGGUUCAGUUUGGCACGGCCUGAAUUGCCCGGUUUAGGUUAGUUCGACCUUCCUUGCUAGGAAGAUUUUGGAAGAUUGCUUAUGGCCUUGCAUGCACUUAAUAAAUUACAUGUGUACAUCUUAGGCACUCCUCCCUGUCCGCCAAUUGGCUAUAAAGGUUUCAUGGCAAGCUUAUGUCAUGCAAGCUCUUGUUGUCUGGUUGACAACCGAUCAUAAAAUCUGUUCAAUCUAUUGAGCCUUCUCGACUAAAACCGUUUUCUAUAGUAGACCCCAUAUUAAGUUGAAUUAAGCUUAGUCUGCGUGGUCUUUAUUUUAACUUAUGUUUCUAAACUUAAUAUUAUUAGAGCUAAGAGGCAUCUUCAUCUACUACAUUCCCAUAUUGAUCUACUCUUUUACUCUACUUAAAUCUUUGAAGAUAUUUAAUCAGUCUAGCCAAAGUUACAACCUACGUGUUACAACUAUUUUUUCACUACUUUAUAUGUAUAUUAACCCCAUUUACCUGAUGUCAUAUCCUCUAAUACAUUUU